Molecule: long non-coding RNA, 831 nt
Organism: Ruditapes philippinarum (Manila clam)
Lineage: Eukaryota; Metazoa; Mollusca; Bivalvia; Venerida; Veneridae
Exons: 3
Source: RefSeq, a predicted model, not a curated record
ACCUGUGAUAAAAUAAAAUGUCAAAAUGUUUUGAGUGUCCAUGGCAAUAAAUGACUAACAUAAUUGUUUGUUACACUCUUAACAUGUGAUUUCAGAAUGGGGGCAGUGGAGACAAGAGGUGUGAUUAUUUUGCGCAAGCGCAAUUAACUAAAAGUUGUCUUUUUCAAUAUGACGAUCCAUUUCUUACAGUUCAAAAUAGAACAUUUUACAGACAUAAAUGGUUAAAAAUUUUGAAUUUUCUUAGGCACUGAUUGGCUAAAAAUAUAGGUUGACUUCUUAUCUUAUUUCAUUAUAUUUAUUGCUUUAAAAAAAUAUUAGUGAUAGAAAAUUUCAUAAUUACAAACAUAAAGUACAUAAUUUCAUCAAUUACAAAUAUUUGAUGGUGAAAAUCAUUAAAAUUGCCUUUAAACAAAUCAACUUAAUGCUUACAAUUGCCUUGUAUCUCAUGAAAUAGAGUAUAUGUACUUCUGUUUACAUAUAAUAUAUUUGAUAUUUUUGUAAACUCCUCAAUCACAACUGUUAACAUUUUCUCUAUUUGAAUUCCUUUGAUUUUUUAGACCUCAACAUUGAAGAUGUUAUAGAAGAGAAUGAUGAUAAUGAUGAAGUUGACACUGAAGAAUCAUGUUUGGACAGACAUUUAGCAAGUGUUCAACAACAUAAUGAUUCAGUCAGUCAGACAAAUAAACCUGAACAAAAUGAUGAUUUAGUCAUUCAGAAAAAUAAACCUGCAGAUAUGGAGUGUAAUAAUGAAUCAGAUUAUGAUGAUGACAUUGUAUAUGCUACAAAAAGAAAAAAAUUGCGAGUGUUGGAUAGUUCUUCAGAUGAAGAAGA